Mastomys coucha (southern multimammate mouse) is the source of this 499-nucleotide long non-coding RNA. RefSeq lists it as uncharacterized. Lineage: Eukaryota; Metazoa; Chordata; Mammalia; Rodentia; Muridae. The record is from RefSeq and is a predicted model, not a curated record. The transcript is spliced from 3 exons.
GUGCCCAUAUCUGGAUAAAUUAGCCACCUCUAACCUCUGGCCAUCACCAGGACUGGAUCCUCAAACUUUGUGUGAGUGUGGAGGAAACAGGAGUGACUUGAAAAGGUCUAAAGAAGUACAAAUGCUGUUUUAAGAGAAGUUGCUUAAGUCUGUGGAAUGUUUCUUUAAUUUGGAGACAAGCUAUCACAUCACAUUGCCUAGGCAGCCUACAAUUGGAGGUUUAUUCCUGAGUCUGUAUGAGAAAGAGGGCUGAAAAUUCCGUGUUGGACAACCAAAUGGUGUGAUCAUAUAUGUGCUUUUGUGGGAAUUAAUGUGGCUAUAGGUUCUGAAACUGCAAUGGACUGAUGGGAAAAGAAGAAUGGGUUUUAAGGAAUGGAUGAGGAUGGCAAGAGAACACAUGUGACAUACAAGUAGAAAAAAGAGUCUUGAAGGCCAAGGGGCAUAGAGGAUGGGUGAGGAAAUGGAGGGAAGAAGGUCAGUCCCCAAAAAGGUAGAUAGA